RNAcentral lists this ribosomal RNA (392 nucleotides) under uncultured bacterium. Its description in RNAcentral is "partial 16S ribosomal RNA". It matches the Rfam family "Bacterial small subunit ribosomal RNA", at positions 523 to 918 of the family's 1533-position model. The record is from RNAcentral.
AUACGUAGGGGGCGAGCGUUGUCCGGAUUUAUUGGGCGUAAAGGGCGCGUAGGCGGCGCUUCAAGUCGUCUGUCAAAUGGGAGGGCUUAACCCUUUUUCGCAGACGAAACUGGAGAGCUUGAGAAGCAGAGAGGCAAACAGAAUUCCUGGUGUAGCGGUGAAAUGCGUAGAUAUCAGGAAGAAUACCAGUGGCGAAGGCGGUUUGCUGGCUGCAUACUGACGCUGAGGCACGAAAGCGUGGGGAGCAAACAGGAUUAGAUACCCUGGUAGUCCACGCUAUAAACGAUGAGUGUUAGGUGUCGGGGGUCAAACCUCGGUGCCGCAGUUAACACAUUAAGCACUCCGCCUGGGGAGUACGGCCGCAAGGCUGAAACUUAAAGGAAUUGACGGGG